AGGCAUGUAGCUCAGUGGUAGAGUGCCCGCUUCGGAUGUGUGAGGUCCCGGGUUCAAUACCUGGCAUCUCCA
This 72-nucleotide transfer RNA is filed under the name Lepisosteus oculatus (spotted gar). It matches the Rfam family "tRNA". Rfam says of the family: Transfer RNA (tRNA) molecules are approximately 80 nucleotides in length. Their secondary structure includes four short double-helical elements and three loops (D, anti-codon, and T loops). Further hydrogen bonds mediate the characteristic L-shaped molecular structure. tRNAs have two regions of fundamental functional importance: the anti-codon, which is responsible for specific mRNA codon recognition, and the 3' end, to which the tRNAs corresponding amino acid is attached (by aminoacyl-tRNA synthetases). tRNAs cope with the degeneracy of the genetic code in two manners: having more than one tRNA (with a specific anti-codon) for a particular amino acid; and 'wobble' base-pairing, i.e. permitting non-standard base-pairing at the 3rd anti-codon position. The record is from Rfam by way of RNAcentral. Lineage: Eukaryota; Metazoa; Chordata; Actinopteri; Semionotiformes; Lepisosteidae.